Molecule: long non-coding RNA, 442 nt
Organism: Alligator mississippiensis (American alligator)
Lineage: Eukaryota; Metazoa; Chordata; Crocodylia; Alligatoridae
Exons: 5
Source: RefSeq, a predicted model, not a curated record
CUCCAAGUUGUUGCCUGCACUGAACAAUCCUGGAAGAGGCAGUGGACGGCACCAUAAUGCAAAAGAAGCCCCAACAGAUUGAAGGCUUGGAAGGAAAAGAGAAAGAAAGACAGAAAGAGUGCUCCAAGGAUCUUCCUAAAGUAGCUCCCACCAUUAUAGCACGCCAGAAGAGAUUACUCUUGUUGAGGACAUCUGCUCAGUCAGUACGUCGCUGAAGCCAGGAUGGAGCAGCCAGGGUUGAGGAAUCGGGUCAGCAGCUCAGCUGAGAGAUGGACGGUGUUAUCAGCAGGGCCAGAAGCCAAAUACAACAGGACAAGGCCGUCCUGCACAGCUCCUUUCCUUCUUGUCGCCAUAGGGAUGCUGGGAAUGGAGACCCUGCACUCACCGACCCAGAUCGCCAUCGGCUUCUGCACGGCACGCCCACCUCAUACCUCUUCUCAGG